AGUGAACGCUGGCGGUAGGCCUAACACAUGCAAGUCGAACGGCAGCACAGUAAGAGCUUGCUCUUACGGGUGGCGAGUGGCGGACGGGUGAGGAAUACAUCGGAAUCUACUUUUUCGUGGGGGAUAACGUAGGGAAACUUACGCUAAUACCGCAUACGACCUACGGGUGAAAGCAGGGGAUCUUCGGACCUUGCUCGAUUGAAUGAGCCGAUGUCGGAUUAGCUAGUUGGCGGGGUAAAGGCCCACCAAGGCGACGAUCCGUAGCUGGUCUGAGAGGAUGAUCAGCCACACUGGAACUGAGACACGGUCCAGACUCCGACGGGAGGCAGCAGUGGGGAAUAUUGGACAAUGGGCGCAAGCCUGAUCCAGCCAUACCGCGUGGGUGAAGAAGGCCUUCGGGUUGUAAAGCCCUUUUGGUGGGAAAGAAAAGCAGCAGGUUAAUACCCCGCUGUUCUGACGGUACCCAAAGAAUAAGCACCGGCUAACUUCGUG
RNAcentral lists this ribosomal RNA (492 nucleotides) under uncultured bacterium. RNAcentral's name for it is "partial 16S ribosomal RNA". It matches the Rfam family "Bacterial small subunit ribosomal RNA", at positions 29 to 507 of the family's 1533-position model. The record is from RNAcentral.